UCUGCGAGUCAAGAGACCCAGCUCCUUGCCGAGGCGUAUUUGACAACCUCCAUGUGUCUCUGUCAGCGAGUGUCUCCGGGUGGCCUGCCAAGGACUGAAACCCAUCAGCUCUCUGGAAGUUGAUUGAAA
Molecule: long non-coding RNA, 129 nt
Organism: Myotis davidii
Lineage: Eukaryota; Metazoa; Chordata; Mammalia; Chiroptera; Vespertilionidae
Exons: 3
Source: RefSeq, a predicted model, not a curated record